UAGUUUAAAACUUUUAAUUACAAAGAAAUAUCACAAUAUAGCUGUAAAGCUUUGAUUUAUAUGUCAGUACAUUCUGGAAUUAGACAAAGGGUAUAAAAAACCAUCACAUUUUACAUCAAAUAGGAUUUUGACAAAACAAAAAAACUUUAUUAUGAACAAAUAAAACAUUUAACAAGAACUUUGAUUGGAGUAACAAAAGGAUGCCCCUGCCCUGCAAUACUAAUAUUUCUUGUAAUUCAGGAGAACUUGUGCUUAAAGAUAUUACUGUCAAAUUGGUGCAAUAUAUAAAUAGGUGGAUGGUCUCUCCUAUAACAUGCAAGAGCAGGAUACAAUUACUGGAUAUUUUCUAUAACUCUAUAAAAUGCCAUCAAUAUAGGAGGGUAUAACAAAACUAAUUUCAACAAUUUUAUGACUUGGUUCUUAUGUUUACCCGCUAAAAUGCACAAAAUACUAGUAUUUAAAUACAAAGUAUAUGGCACAUAACAUAACAAAUAUAAAGUUAUAACAUAACAAUAACAACUACUGUGGACUAAAAGUAACAUUGAAAUAACAUAAAACAUAACAAUAACAACUACUGUGGACUAAAAGUAACAUUGAAUUAACAUAAAACAUCAAUACAAUAACCUGCCUUAACUCAAAACAAAAUCAGGUAUGGUGUGGUUAAAGUAGUAGACUAUAAAUAAUUUGGUCCUAUCUAAAAGAUGUGGUAUGAAUGCCAACUCUCCUAUCUAAACAUUAAUAAAAGAAGAUGAGGGGUAGAAACCCAACAACAUAUAAAGCAAAUAGGUCAGCAUACUACCUAGAUAUGUUUUCCUAUUUUUAUCACUUGAAAACUUUUAUCAUUUUCUAUACAUUUUCUAUAAUAUUUAUUGUUCAGUAGCAUAACACUAUAAAAAUAGCCGCAUUAUAAAGUCCCCAUAGUUAAAUAUAUUUGGAGUGAUAAUAAAUGGCAAGGUAACAGCAUAGUAUUAAUACAUGGCAUUGCUACUUAAAAAUUAAUGAUAGUUUUACAUAGCUAUUUAUCCCCUAUAAGGUCACUAGAAAUUCAAUGAGACCUCUCAAUUUGAAAAAAAGAUAAAUUUCCGUCCUAGACCAAUUACCUAAUUUUCUACCAUCUUUAUCAUGUCAUCAUGAAGAAAUGUUUUACAAUUUUCUUUGUAAACUUCUAAAUAUGUGUCAUGUUUCUUUCCAUAUUCAAGGUAAAUUAUUGGUAAUAAUAUCCCCAAAGACACAGAAACCUGCUGAUAAAACAUAAGGUUGAAAAAUUGCCAUUCUACUCAUUUAGUUUGAAAAUGACAACUCUGUAACUUAGGAGAGCCUUUUUUAUUUAUUUUCAAUACAAUGUCAUUCAAACUAAGUUUCAAGGUAAUGCCAUUGAAUCAGAUUUGUAAUCUGUCACUUCAAUUUUUUUAUAAUCACAUUUAUGGUUACAGAAUGCAAAGGGGGUAAAAAGAAAUGGUGUCCAUUGCAAUCCGAAAUUUACAAACCAUUAUAAAACACAUUACAUCAAUUAAAUCACACUUAUUUGGGUCAUUUCAUAUGAUAAAAUAAAUUAACUAUAAUGAUAAAACUCUUAUUUAUUUACGAUUAUAAUUGAGUGGUUAUGUAUUGAUCAGUUCCUAUAGUUUUUCAGUCAGACGCUACCAAAAUCCAUAAAUCUGGAGAAGGCUCGUAAAGUCUGAGAUUUUAUCAAUUUUCUACUAAAAAGCAUAUCAGAAUCAUUUUUUGUUAAACAUACUGUUCCCAGGUUUAACUGUUAAAAGAUUAAAAAAAUAAUGCCUGGAAUAAUAAUUGUGAGACAUAGUUUGUCAUAUGUCAAAAUUACAUCAGAAAUAGUAUUUUCACCAAAUUGAACUAUCCUCAAUUAUGUUUCCUGAAUAAAUAUUUAGGUGAUCAUAAAGUUAAUAGAAUUACAAUUGAAUAACAUACAGGGUCAUACAGCACCUUCUUGAAUAUAACCUGACAAAAGUUACUUGCUACUUAUUAUCAUGAACCCUUUGUGUCAUGAUAAGCACAAUGGAAAGCAGGAGGUAUGCAAUUAAGAUUGAUAAUUUACUAUAAAGUUAUCACCAGACAUAAGUUACUUUCCUUUAUGUAAACGACAAUGAAAAGCAAUGGUAAAAAGGAGGUAUCUUUUUGUCCUGUGACUUUCUGUUCUACAUUCUAAAGGAGGUAUCAUAUUUAUGUUAAUUAUUUCUUGUUUUUAUAACUUACAAGUUCUUGGGAAUAAAACAGAUCAUAAAAAGUCCCAAAUUAGUUAUAUAAACCAAAUAUACACAAGACUAACUAAACAUAUUCCAUAACAAAAAUAUAAAAUAUAAUCAUAGCACCAAAUCAAGUCAAUUAUACCAAUACAUAUUUUACAGGUAAAUAUAUAAACAGGCAAGCCUUACACAGAUAUAAAUAUACUUUGACAAGAUCACAUAAUGCAUGUACCGUACAAAUAAGCCUUAAAAAUAUAUACAUCAUACAGGUACAUCUGUGAAUCGUCUUGUGUAUCAGGUAAAACUCAUAGCAAACAAUAAUUUAAGAAUCUUAUACAGAUAAAUAUUUCACAGGUAAAUAUAAUAAAUAAAAAUAUAACACACACAAAAUCACAUAGAAAGGUAAACAAUGAGAUCUAAGUGAAGUGCCAGGUAGAGAUAUACAGGUGACAUCCUAUCACAAUCACAGAGAAAGGUAAACAAUGAGAUCUAAGUAAAGUGUCAGGUAGAGAUAUGCAGGUGCAAGGCCGUAACUAGGCUUAUCAUUUUAGUGAGGCAAAAUAAAUGAGCCGAGCGAAGCGAGGCGAAUUUUUUUUUUUGAGGGUAUGAAAUGAAUGGUGCAAAAUCCUGCAUUCUAGGCAUUUCCAGAGAGUUUAAUAAUGUUUUGAAAUUGGACACUUUUUAUAUUAAUUUGAAAUAUUUAUAGACUUUUAUUAACACCAAAUGUUUAACAACUUUAUUUAUAUUUAUAUGUAAGAUAAUUAUCCAAAUAUCAAUUUUAGUCUGUCGCUAGAACAUAGAACAAACAUCGAUUUAGUCGAGUUUGCCAAAUAUUCUAUGGCCGGUUCAGUCAAAUUAUUUUAGAAUAUUUGGUCUACUGAUAUCCUAAUCGCGAUGAACAUGAAGCAUGGCAAAACUGCACAAUCUCUCGCCACUCAUACAUGCUCUUUUUCAAGUUUUCAGUCGUUUCAGGGCAGUCUGUGUUUCUAGAGACAGCAAAUUAUCAUCAACACAAUGAUCAAUAAAAUUGAAAAUGGAAAAGAGACAACAACCCGACCAUAGAAAAAAACAACAGCAGAAAGUCACAAACAGGUCUUCAAUGUAGCGAGAAAUUCCCGCACCCGGAGGCAUCCUUCAGCUGGCCCCUAAACAAAUAUAUACUAGUUCAGUGAUAAUGAACGCCAUACUAAUUUCCAAAUUGUACACAAGAAACUAAAAUUAAAAUAAUACAAGACUAACAAAGGCCAGAGGCUCCUGACUUGGGACAGGCGCAAAAAUGCGGAAAUGUCUUCUUCCGAUUCCUUCUCAAUCAGCAAUUUUGUAGCAGCAUCGGUAGUAACAGUUUUGUUUGCAAAAUUGAAGUAAGCUUUUCUGUUAGCACCAUCAUACAGUCGCAGUUUAAAAAUAUUAAACUCGCUUUUAUGCUGACAAAGAGUAAACAAACUAGGAAUAAAAUGAGAUAAGAUACAUGUAUAUUUUAUUUAGAGUUAAUUUACUAGUAUGAUAUGGGUAAACGGGGACUGGACUGUAGUUUUUGUCACUUAGGUUAGAAUGAGAUAAAAUGCAUCUAUCAUGAUGAUUCUAUCUAUAGUAAGUAUAUAUGAUAUUGGUACAGGGGAAUUGGAAUGGAGUUUUUUCGACGUUUACAUGUAUGUCCGUAAUUUCAAAUUAUUUCUGGAAAUAGUCGGUGGUAUUUUAGUUCCAGAAUCUAUUAAUUUAGGGGUAGUGGUUGGGGAUGUCCAAUUCCGAAACCCCUAAUAUAAAGACAGGAAAUUCCGUAGUCCCGAAUAAGUAAAGACAAAAUCCUGUUUUAAAGGUCCUACCGUUCCUCUAUAUUUUCAAAUUGGAAUAUUUGAUGUUCUUUCAAUUUUUAAGGUUAAAGAAACAUGGAUAAAAACUAAUCCAUGCAUGUUUCAUAUUAUUCAUAUUUUAUUUAUCUGUAAAGAGAAAGAUUAAAGUUGGUGAAACGGGGAAAUGAGUCGCAGACAGGACUGCCCCCUUGCGAUGCCCAUGUAGUACUUGAUUUGUCAGUCUUCUUAUAGUUUUUGGAUUAGCUCUAAUGACAUUAUAUUCAAUACUCAGACUCUGUUUACAAAAACAUUAGUUUACUAGAAUUAUUCCUUCUUUACCUUCAGUAUCGCUUAUCCUUUUUCUGCAAGAGCCUUUUUUAAAACAGAGAUCCAUGAUGAUUAUCGUUACUAGGUUAAUGUAAUCGAGAAACAUCACCCCUUGGGAUGCUGAGUUAUAUCUGAGACUACUAUAACACAAAUAAUGUGUUAUAGUAGUCUCAGGUUAUAUCCAGGAAAAAUAAUUUAAAAGGAAUGAUAACAAGUUAUAGAAAUUAAGAUUGAG
This 4556-nucleotide long non-coding RNA is filed under the name Mytilus galloprovincialis (Mediterranean mussel). The record is from RNAcentral. Lineage: Eukaryota; Metazoa; Mollusca; Bivalvia; Mytilida; Mytilidae.